UUAAUACAUUUCAACCCUUUUGCUAAGAUCCAAAUUUGUGCAUAAUAGUAACUUAGCUAAUCAUUUAUGUUGUAACUAACCUUAAAAGAUGAAUAAUCUUCUCCUAGUUUAAAACCUAUUUGGAUGAUUAUGAGAAUUUGAGUUAUGUUCUUGUGCAUAUUUGAGGCAAAUAGGUUUGUAAACAAUUCCAAUUUCUACUCCCCAAUAAGUUUGUCAGACUAAUGAUCACUUUUUGAGUUCCAUUCUCAAUACCCAAUACUUUUUAUUUGUAUUUACACUGGUUAAAUUAUGUGUUUCAGUGAGCCUAAGGUGCAACGAAAUUGAUCAUGACGACCAUUCCUUAAAAUCGAGCUUGUAUGUAAUUGGCAGUUUCCUUUUCUCAGGCUUUUGCAAAUUGAUUCAAUUAAAUGUUACAUUUUUACUUCAUUAUAGGAGAGGUUAAGCUUAUAUGAAGACAAAUUAAAGCGGCUCAAGUAAAGGUAAUUUACUGUCAGUAGAUAUCUCUAUAACUUAUAAAGUUUCAAAUUGUCGGACUGCUUAUAAUCGAUCUUUAGGUUUCAGCUGUCCAUAUUAGACAAGAUCGCCAGGAAAGAUGCUUUAGAAUGUUAACUUUGUUAAACCUUGAGAAUUAACUUAAAAGUGUUCAAGAAUUUGUUUUCAUAUCAAGAUUAUUCUACUAAGCACAUUAAUUUGUUUUUUAGAACCUAUAAAUUUGGAUCAUAACAAAUUUUCACUGCCAUUUAUGUCUCCUAAUGCAUUUAAUUUAUUUUUCAGGGAUGCUACAUCAGCAUAUAUCAUUGUAAAAUCAUCUUAGACAGACUCCAUAUGAUAUGCUCAAUGGACAGGAUUCAACGUUGAUUGAAGGAAGAAAGGCACGAGUUGCCGCAAGAUCUGCUGAAUGGACCAUUAACUGUGAUGAAUGAUAGACUAUCAUUCAGAAAUUUAGAGGGAAAUGUGUUCUGGAACAUGAGCUUAGAAGUUUGUUUCAUAGAGAUGAAAUGGUGCGAUAGCAAGACGCCAAGGCAGAUUCUUUUUUCUUUUUUUUUUGAAAAAAGGUCCUUCUAUACCGAUUGAUUAUAUUCUAAUCGUUAUUACCCUAUACCGAUUGGUUAAAGUCCAAUCUGCAUGUCUUGAAUUUGUAAUACCGAGAGAGUUUAUACAAAUUGGUGUCGAUUGGAUUACA
Long non-coding RNA from Impatiens glandulifera, 1183 nucleotides. RefSeq lists it as uncharacterized. The record is from RefSeq and is a predicted model, not a curated record. Lineage: Eukaryota; Viridiplantae; Streptophyta; Magnoliopsida; Ericales; Balsaminaceae. The transcript has 2 exons.